RNAcentral lists this ribosomal RNA (331 nucleotides) under uncultured eukaryote. RNAcentral's name for it is "partial 18S ribosomal RNA". It matches the Rfam family "Eukaryotic small subunit ribosomal RNA", at positions 1470 to 1796 of the family's 1831-position model. The record is from RNAcentral.
CCCUUAGAUGUUCUGGGCCGCACGCGCGCUACACUGACGCAUUCAACGAGUCUAAAACCUGGUCUGAUAGGGCUGGGUAAUCUUUUGAAUGUGCGUCGUGAUUGGGAUAAAUGAUUGUAAUUCUUCAUUUUCAACGAGGAAUGCCUAGUAAACGCAAGUCAUCAGCUUGCAUUGAUUACGUCCCUGCCCUUUGUACACACCGCCCGUCGCUACUACCGAUUGGAUGGUUUAGUGAGAUCCUCGGAUUGGUCACGGCACGGUGGCAACACUGCGUCGGUGUGCCGAGAAGACGAUCAAACUUGAUCAUCUAGAGGAAGUAAAAGUCGUAACA